This is a long non-coding RNA of Cinclus cinclus, 349 nucleotides long. RefSeq lists it as uncharacterized. The record is from RefSeq and is a predicted model, not a curated record. The transcript is spliced from 3 exons. Lineage: Eukaryota; Metazoa; Chordata; Aves; Passeriformes; Cinclidae.
GGAGUUGUAAAGGUACAUCCAGCUGUGCAUUCUGUUUGGCCAUAGCCUUCAUAAACCUGACGAAGACACAGGAUCCAGCGCUUGAGGGAUGUGUCAGCCUGGCUGAAGAUCUGCAGGAGCACAGGAUGGCAGACAAGGUGUCACAGAGAAGAGAGAGCACCUCGACAUCUAUUCUCCCCAUGACACCCACCCAGCCAGGUGGAUAGUCAAGUUUUCAGCACAGCCGUGGCACGACAGGGAAGAUGGUUGGCCGCAGUGCCUUCAUAUCAUCAGACAGGAGGCGAAUAUCUCCUUGGAAGAAGCCAAUUCGCCCUCCGUGGCAGUAUACUACAGACUGAUGGGGAGAAAG